GANGCCAGAUAAUAAAAAAGUCAUGUCCACGAGGUGGAACUUGUAUUGGGAAGCGGACAAGCGUCCUACAAACGAGGCCACUCCGAAGAAUGUCCUUAGCGAAAUACUUAUUACGCCAAGUCAAACCAAGUCUCAAAGACAGAUCCAGCUAAUACAUUUAAGGUGAGCCGCUCGUAAAAGCGGCAAGCACCCAAUUCCAAGCCAAGACUAGAGCACAAAACCCAAGUCAAGGUUGAUAUUUUCAUGACACUCAAACAGGCAUGCUCUUCGGAAUACCAAAGAGCGCAAGGUGCGUUCAAAGAUUCGAUGAUUCACUGAAUUCUGCAAUUCACAUUACUUAUCGCAUUUCGCUGCGUUCUUCAUCGAUGCGAGAGCCAAGAGAUCCGUUGUUGAAAGUUUUAUUAGGUUAUAAUAAGACUACGUUUGUUACAUUAAUUGUUUGUUAAAAAUGGGCAGACGAUGACUUGGCCAAAGACCUCAUCAUACGUCUUACAGUUCACAGGUGUUAGGAUGUGAUUUAAGCAAGGGCCUUNCCGAAGCGAAGACACCAAGCAUGUNUAANUCACUAAUGAUCCUUCCGCANGUNCACCUACGGAAACNUGNUACGACUUUNACUUCCUCUAAAUGANCAAGUUUGAUCAGCUNCUCAGCANANGANGCCGUNGCAGCUNNCAAAGCCAAUCNGAGAUCUACUAGCCAUCA
RNAcentral lists this unclassified non-coding RNA (702 nucleotides) under Solicoccozyma terrea. Its description in RNAcentral is "sequence contains 18S rRNA gene, ITS1, 5.8S rRNA gene, ITS2, 28S rRNA gene". Lineage: Eukaryota; Fungi; Basidiomycota; Tremellomycetes; Filobasidiales; Piskurozymaceae. The record is from RNAcentral.